This 867-nucleotide long non-coding RNA is filed under the name Sinocyclocheilus anshuiensis. RNAcentral's name for it is "lncRNA (ENSSANG00000014051.1)". The record is from RNAcentral. Lineage: Eukaryota; Metazoa; Chordata; Actinopteri; Cypriniformes; Cyprinidae.
CCAUCAUCGGUUCUCUUUUCAGAGCAGUUCAGCCGACCGGACAUCACUAGUCUAUUGGCGUAAACACGAGCUUUAACUCCCCCAUCUGGCGCACAAAACGUUGUAAAUUCUAAUAGUAAUUUCGGAUAAGAUUGCUACAACAAAUAAAUAGCGCUCUUUGUUGUUAUUAUGGAUGGCGUGUCAUAAAGUGAAAUGCUUAAACUCGGCAUGCUCUGUUUUUCUUUUUGGAAAAAAGAAACCGUGAUAUUCUGUCUUCUGCUUUUGUCUUCUAUCAUCUGCGUCAGAAUAUUAGAUUUCCUAUACACAAUUCUGAGCGAUUGAAGCUGUGGUUGCUCGCGCUGCACUUGGAUAUCAACACACCCGAACAUGCUCUGAUAUUUAAGAGAGUGUGCAGUGAUCAUUUUUUCGACGAUGAUUUCAAACCCUCCCAGCAAGGAAAUCGUCAUUUUCUGAAAGCGUCGGCUGUGCCCAAUACGUUUUACAGCAAACAGAGGUAUGUAUGUUUUUUUACUAUAUUAGAUGCAUUAACGUUUUUUUUCUCGUCAGUGUGUUUCAUAACGUGUGAAUGUUUAUUUAUUACUAAUGUCUUCCUGUUACUAAUGACGUGUUAAAAUGUAUUUUUUUUUACUCCUAAGUAUCCGUCUCGUGGAAAUCUAGAGUCCCUAGCAAAAGACAAUGACGCUGAGCUGGAGGUCCAGGGAGCAGGAGUGUUUUUGGCUAAUGUUCCACAGUCAACACCAGCAAACGUCUCAGGUUACUUGUGUAACCAUGGUUCCCUGAGUAGGGAACGAGACACUGCGUCCUCUAGGGGUCGCUAUGGGGAACGCCUCGUCGUGACCCGUGUCUGAAGCAUACAUUGAAAACACA